This 2747-nucleotide ribosomal RNA is filed under the name marine metagenome. RNAcentral's name for it is "bacterial LSU rRNA". It matches the Rfam family "Bacterial large subunit ribosomal RNA". The record is from RNAcentral.
UCAAGUAAGAGAAGAGCAUUUGGUGAAUGCCUUGGCACUAAGAGGCGAUGAAAGACGUGGCACGCUGCGAUAAGCUUCGGGGAGUUGCGAGCAAACUUUGAUCCGAAGAUUUCUGAAUGGGGAAACCCACCCCUUUAGGGGUAUCCUGCACUGAAUACAUAGGUGUAGGAGGCAAACGAGGCGAACUGAAACAUCUCAGUAGCCUUAGGAAAGGACAUCAACCGAGACUCCGUUAGUAGUGGCGAGCGAACGCGGACCAGGCCAGUGGCCUAUUUGUAAGAACCGGAACCGUCUGGAAAGUCGGGCCAUAGCGGGUGAUAGCCCCGUACGGGUAGAAAGCAGAUAGGUCCUCGAGUAGGGCGGGACACGUGAAAUCCUGUCUGAACGUAGGGGGACCACCCUCUAAGCCUAAGUACUCCUUAGUGACCGAUAGUGAACAAGUACCGUGAGGGAAAGGUGAAAAGCACCCCGACGAGGGGAGUGAAAUAGACCUGAAACCGAAUGCUUACAAGCAGUGGGAGCACCCUUGAGGUGUGACCGCGUACCUUUUGUAUAAUGGGUCAGCGACUUAAUUUAUCGAGCAAGCUUAAGCCGUUAGGUGUAGGCGUAGCGAAAGCGAGUCUUAAUAGGGCGUUUUAGUUCGUUGGAUUAGACCCGAAACCGAGUGAUCUAGCCAUGGGCAGGUUGAAGGUGCAGUAACAUGCACUGGAGGACCGAACCCACCUAUGUUGAAAAAUGGGGGGAUGACCUGUGGUUAGGGGUGAAAGGCCAAUCAAACUCGGAAAUAGCUGGUUCUCCGCGAAAUCUAUUUAGGUAGAGCGUCGUGUAUUGCCAUCGGGGGUAGAGCACUGGAUGGGCUAGGGGAUCUUACCGAUUUACCAAACCCAACCAAACUCCGAAUACCGAUGAGUAAAAGCACGGCAGACAGACAGUGGGUGCUAAGGUCCAUUGUCGAGAGGGAAACAGCCCAGACCGCCAGCUAAGGUCCCUAAAUCACAUCUAAGUGGGAAAGGAUGUGGGAAGGCCAAGACAACCAGGAGGUUGGCUUAGAAGCAGCCAUCCUUUAAAGAAAGCGUAAUAGCUCACUGGUCUAGAUAAGCCGUCCUGCGCCGACGAUGUAACGGGGCUAAAGAUGUGUACCGAAGCUGCGGAUUCAUACCGCAAGGUAUGUCUGGUAGCGGAGCGUUCCGUAAGCCUGUGAAGGUUCACCGCGAGGUGUGCUGGAGGUAUCGGAAGUGAGAAUGCUGACAUGAGUAGCGACAAAGAGGGUGAGAAACCCUCUCGCCGGAAGUCCAAGGGUUCCUGCGCAAGGCUAAUCCGCGCAGGGUGAGUCGGCCCCUAAGGUGAGGGCGAAAGCCGUAGCCGAUGGGAAACAGGUUAAUAUUCCUGUACCUUCUGGAAGUGACGAAUACUGAUAGUCGUAUCCCCUUAUUGGAUUGGUGGAUGCGGCGUAGGUGUUCCGGGAAAUAACUCCAGAGUUUAGACCGUACCCCAAACCGACACAGGUGGACAGGUAGAGAAUACCAAGGCGCUUGAGAGAACGAUGUUGAAGGAACUCGGCAAAAUGCACCCGUAACUUCGGGAUAAGGGUGACCUCCACUUGGGCAACCAGGUGGUGGUGGCACAAAAUUGGGGGUGGCGACUGUUUACUAAAAACACAGGGCUCUGCGAAGUCGCAAGACGACGUAUAGGGUCUGACGCCUGCCCGGUGCUGGAAGGUUAAAAGGAGGGGUGAGAGCUCUGAAUUGAAGCCCCAGUAAACGGCGGCCGUAACUAUAACGGUCCUAAGGUAGCGAAAUUCCUUGUCGGGUAAGUUCCGACCUGCACGAAUGGCGUAACGACUUCCCCGCUGUCUCCAACAUCGACUCAGCGAAAUUGAAUUCUCCGUGAAGAUGCGGAGUACCCGCGGUUAGACGGAAAGACCCCGUGCACCUUUACUAUAGCUUUGCAGUGGUAUUAGGGGACAAAUGUGUAGGAUAGGUGGGAAACUUUGAAGCCGUGGCGCCAGUUGCGGUGGAGUUAACCUUGAAAUACCACCCUUUUGUUCUCUGAUAUCUAACCGUGGCCCGUUAUCCGGGUCCGGGACCCUGCAUGGUGGGUAGUUUGACUGGGGCGGUCGCCUCCCAAAGAGUAACGGAGGCGCGCGAUGGUGGGCUCAAGCUGGUCGGAAAUCAGCUGUCGAGUGCAAUGGCAUAAGCCCGCCUGACUGCGAGACUGACAAGUCGAGCAGAGACGAAAGUCGGUCAUAGUGAUCCGGUGGUCCCGCGUGGAAGGGCCAUCGCUCAACGGAUAAAAGGUACGCCGGGGAUAACAGGCUGAUAAUCCCCAAGAGUCCAUAUCGACGGGAUUGUUUGGCACCUCGAUGUCGGCUCAUCACAUCCUGGGGCUGGAGCAGGUCCCAAGGGUUUGGCUGUUCGCCAAUUAAAGUGGUACGUGAGCUGGGUUUAGAACGUCGUGAGACAGUUCGGUCCCUAUCUGCCGUGGGAGUAGGAUACUUGAGAAGAGUUGCCCCUAGUACGAGAGGACCGGGGUGAACGUACCUCUGGUGUACCAGUUGUUCCGCCAGGAGCAUCGCUGGGUAGCUAAGUACGGACAGGAUAACCGCUGAAAGCAUCUAAGCGGGAAGCCCCCUUCAAUACCAGGUAUCCCUUGAGAGCCGUGGAAGACCACCACGUUGAUAGGCCAGGUGUGGAAGCGUAGUAAUACGUGUAGCUAACUGGUACUAAUUGCUCGAUAGUCUUGAAAAG